Molecule: small nucleolar RNA, 115 nt
Organism: Hordeum vulgare subsp. vulgare (domesticated barley)
Lineage: Eukaryota; Viridiplantae; Streptophyta; Magnoliopsida; Poales; Poaceae
Product: small nucleolar RNA Z278
Exons: 1
Source: RefSeq, a predicted model, not a curated record
GCCAGUGAUGCUACACCCUACAUUUGGAGGUGCAGAUGACUCCAGGAUCCUGUUUACAGGAUGAACCUACCUGGAGGCGCUGUGUCUGCAUGACAUUCAUGGGCAAGUCUGAGGU